UACAGAGGGUGCUAGCGUUGUUCGGAAUCAUUGGGCGUAAAGGGCGUGUAGGCGGUUUGUUAAGUCAUGUGUGAAAUCCCUCGGCUCAACCGGGGAACGACGCAUGAAACUGGCAAGCUAGAGUACCAAAGAGGGGGGUGGAAUUCCCGGUGUAGCGGUGAAAUGCGUAGAUAUCAGGAGGAACACCGGUGGCGAAGGCAAGGUGCUGGACCCUCUCUGACGCUGAGGCGCGAAAGCCAGGGGAGCGAACGGG
This 253-nucleotide ribosomal RNA is filed under the name uncultured bacterium. RNAcentral describes it as "partial 16S ribosomal RNA". It matches the Rfam family "Bacterial small subunit ribosomal RNA", at positions 524 to 776 of the family's 1533-position model. The record is from RNAcentral.